Molecule: ribosomal RNA, 496 nt
Filed under: uncultured bacterium
Lineage: Bacteria
Description: partial 16S ribosomal RNA
Rfam family: Bacterial small subunit ribosomal RNA
Source: RNAcentral
GAUGAACGCUGGCGGCGUGCCUAAUACAUGCAAGUCGAGCGAACAGACGAGGAGCUUGCUCCUCUGACGUUAGCGGCGGACGGGUGAGUAACACGUGGAUAACCUACCUAUAAGACUGGGAUAACUUCGGGAAACCGGAGCUAAUACCGGAUAAUAUAUUGAACCGCAUGGUUCAAUAGUGAAAGACGGUUUUGCUGUCACUUAUAGAUGGAUCCGCGCCGCAUUAGCUAGUUGGUAAGGUAACGGCUUACCAAGGCAACGAUGCGUAGCCGACCUGAAAGGGGGUACGGCCACCAAGGAAAGGAGCAACGGACCCAAGUCCUGAGGGGGGCAGCGGUAGGGAAUCUGCCGCAAUGGGCGAAAGCCAGACGAGGCAACCCCGGGUGAGGGAUGGAGGUCUUCGGAUGGAAAAACGCUGUUAUUCGGGAAAAAAAAAUGGGUAAGUAACAAGCCAGCUCUUAGCGGUACCCAACCGAAAAGCACGGGCUACCCGCGC